This 458-nucleotide ribosomal RNA is filed under the name Condylostylus flavipes. Its description in RNAcentral is "eukaryotic LSU rRNA". It matches the Rfam family "Eukaryotic large subunit ribosomal RNA", at positions 1926 to 2315 of the family's 3401-position model. Lineage: Eukaryota; Metazoa; Arthropoda; Insecta; Diptera; Dolichopodidae. The record is from RNAcentral.
AUCCGUAACUUCGGGAUAAGGAUUGGCUCUGAAGAUUGAGAUAAUCGGGCUUGAAUGGGAAACAAUAAAGUGGUGCAUGUACUCGUUCUGGGUAAAUAGAAUUUAUUAUAAAAUUUAUUUUAUAAUAUUUUUGUUCCCCGGAUAGAAGCUACAUAACCAGUUGUGGAACAUUCUUGCUAAUAAUAUACUGGUAAUAUGAUUUUUAAUUAUAUUAUCAUAUAUUUUAUAACGGUUAUCAAUUAACAAUCAAUUCAGAACUGGCACGGACUUGGGGAAUCCGACUGUCUAAUUAAAACAAAGCAUUGUGAUGGCCCUAACGGGUGUUGACACAAUGUGAUUUCUGCCCAGUGCUAUGAAUGUCAAAGUGAAGAAAUUCAUUUAAGCGCUGGUUAACGGCGGGAGUAACUAUGACUCUCUUAAGGUAGCCAAAUGCCUCGUCAUCUAAUUAGUGACGCGCA